UAUUUUAGUCUUGUUAGAGGAACCUGUUUUAUAAUCGAUAAACCACGAACAUCUCACUUAUUUUAAAUAACUUGUAUACCGUCAUUAUUAGAUAACUUUCAAAAAAUUAGUUAUUAAAAUUAAAUAAAAUUAAAUAUAUUAGAUCAAGGUGCAGUUAAUAAAUAAGAAAAAAUGGGUUACAAUAAAAUUUAUUUAAAACGAAUUAUAUAAAUAAAAAAUAUAUGAAGGAGGAUUUAAUUGUAAUUUUUUUAUAAGAUAAUAAUAUGAUAAUAGCUCUAAAAUAU
Molecule: ribosomal RNA, 284 nt
Filed under: Aegla marginata
Lineage: Eukaryota; Metazoa; Arthropoda; Malacostraca; Decapoda; Aeglidae
Also listed under: 1 other name
Description: partial 12S small subunit ribosomal RNA
Source: RNAcentral